This 450-nucleotide ribosomal RNA is filed under the name uncultured Flavobacteriia bacterium. RNAcentral's name for it is "bacterial SSU rRNA". It matches the Rfam family "Bacterial small subunit ribosomal RNA", at positions 940 to 1394 of the family's 1533-position model. The record is from RNAcentral. Lineage: Bacteria; Pseudomonadati; Bacteroidota; Flavobacteriia.
UGUGGUUUAAUUCGAUGAUACGCGAGGAACCUUACCAAGGCUUAAAUGGGAAUUGACAGGUUUAGAAAUAGACUUUUCUUCGGACAAUUUUCAAGGUGCUGCAUGGUUGUCGUCAGCUCGUGCCGUGAGGUGUUAGGUUAAGUCCUGCAACGAGCGCAACCCCUGUCACUAGUUGCCAUCAUUCAGUUGGGGACUCUAGUGAGACUGCCUACGCAAGUAGAGAGGAAGGUGGGGAUGACGUCAAAUCAUCACGGCCCUUACGCCUUGGGCCACACACGUAAUACAAUGGCCAGUACAGAGGGCAGCUACCAGGCGACUGGAUGCGAAUCUCGAAAGCUGGUCUCAGUUCGGAUUGGAGUCUGCAACUCGACUCUAUGAAGCUGGAAUCGCUAGUAAUCGCAUAUCAGCCAUGAUGCGGUGAAUACGUUCCCGGGCCUUGUACACACCGCC